This 253-nucleotide ribosomal RNA is filed under the name uncultured bacterium. RNAcentral describes it as "partial 16S ribosomal RNA". It matches the Rfam family "Bacterial small subunit ribosomal RNA", at positions 524 to 776 of the family's 1533-position model. The record is from RNAcentral.
UACAGAGGUCCCGAGCGUUGUUCGGAUUCACUGGGCGUAAAGCGUGCGCAGGCGGUUAUGUAAGACAGUUGUGAAAUCCCCGGGCUCAACCUGGGAACUGCAUCUGUGACUGCAUAGCUAGAGUACGGUAGAGGGGGAUGGAAUUCCGCGUGUAGCAGUGAAAUGCGUAGAUAUGCGGAGGAACACCGAUGGCGAAGGCAAUCCCCUGGACCUGUACUGACGCUCAUGCACGAAAGCGUGGGGAGCAAACAGG